AAAUAAAUCAAGGAAAUAAAACUCGAAUAUAACGUAAGGUUAAAUCCGGUAUAAAGUUGCACAGUAGUUUCCGGUGUAGAAACUAUUAUGCGAAAAAUAUCUAAAAGCUAAAAACGGGAAAGAUAAAUUGCAAGGGAAAAGAGAAAGUAAAGCUUGCAAAAGAAAUAAAUAAAAUGAACAAUGCUGGAAAGGAAGAAAAAUAAGCAAAGGCGUGAAAGGAAAAUUUGGCAGAGCUUCCGCAAAACUGAGCGUGCAAAAAC
RNAcentral lists this long non-coding RNA (260 nucleotides) under Lathyrus oleraceus (garden pea). Its description in RNAcentral is "Pisum sativum (pea) long non-coding RNA (PSAT_LNC032803)". The record is from RNAcentral. Lineage: Eukaryota; Viridiplantae; Streptophyta; Magnoliopsida; Fabales; Fabaceae.